AACACUAAGCCUCUCUAAUGUUUGUGUGGUUCUUAUGUAUUAUACAGAAAAGAAUUAAAUACAUAAGGCUAUGUUCUCCCUAGGACCAACAUCAGCCUAUGAACUAUUCACUUUGGAGGUGAUUUUCCUGGAUACUUUGUCAGUCUGAAUACAGAACACAAUCUUCCUCAAAAAGUCUACCUCAGAAGCCAUUUUAAAGGUACAGAUGUACACCCAUCUUGGGAACAAUUCCUGCCUUGUCUGGAAAUAGCUUUGGGGAUGAAGCCUGAUGUAAUGUAGCAAUUCUCAAAGUUUGGCCUGAGGAACCCUGCAGGACUUUGAGACCCUUUCAAGUAUUUUCAAAACGAUUCUCAUAAAAAUGGUAUGCACUUGUUUGCCAUCAAACUGAGGAAAAGACAGAAAAUCUGUCUGUGACUCAAUCAUCUCCCUGAAGCAAAUGACAGUUCUGGUUCACUCUGCAGUGUCAUGGGCCACAUGUAGCCUGUGCCCUGUGCUUGAUACCUCUGGUUAUAGAGAGUUCCUUUGAUGUUCUACCAAUGCAAGUCAGCACCUUUUCA
RNAcentral lists this long non-coding RNA (557 nucleotides) under Monodelphis domestica (gray short-tailed opossum). Its description in RNAcentral is "lncRNA (ENSMODG00000030145.2)". The record is from RNAcentral. Lineage: Eukaryota; Metazoa; Chordata; Mammalia; Didelphimorphia; Didelphidae.